Long non-coding RNA from Gigantopelta aegis, 505 nucleotides. RefSeq lists it as uncharacterized. The record is from RefSeq and is a predicted model, not a curated record. The transcript has 2 exons. NCBI's taxonomy places the organism in Eukaryota, Metazoa, Mollusca, Gastropoda, Neomphalida, Peltospiridae.
CCGAAGUAUGCAAAACAUUUCUCUUUUAUGGUCUUGUUUUGCCUGCCUUACAGCAAACCACCAGACGUUUCGAAUACACAGACUCCAGACGUCUCGAAUACACAGACUCUCAAAGGAAGCAAAUCACCACACCGUGCCUGGGUGUUAAUUCCCUCUUUUCCACGUGUUAUAUGGGAUGGCCGGUAAUUGUAAAAGGUGGGAGAAAAUAGGUGUCAUUGGGCCGGCGAUGAGGCACAACUAGGCCAGGGGGUGGAGGUGCGAAUUCCUCGUGCUGGGACCAACAAUGGGUAUUUAAUACAGUAAGUUAAAAGCCAAAUAAUAAGAAGACAACGAAGAAAGACCGUUACAGUAGUGUCUGAUAUAUUUUAUGUAUUUGUAGAAUAAAAUAAAAUUAUCAAGAUAUAUUAACCAAAAACGCAUUUAAUGGUUAAAGAAUUUAACCCACCCCAAUAAUGAAUAAUGAAAUUAAAUAUCCCAGAAUGCACCCACAGACAUCUUGAAUUAA